GCAGUCGAGCGGUAACAGAAAGUAGCUUGCUACUUUGCUGACGAGCGGCGGACGGGUGAGUAAUGCUUGGGAACAUGCCUUGAGGUGGGGGACAACAGUUGGAAACGACUGCUAAUACCGCAUAAUGUCUACGGACCAAAGGGGGCUUCGGCUCUCGCCUUUAGAUUGGCCCAAGUGGGAUUAGCUAGUUGGUGAGGUAAUGGCUCACCAAGGCGACGAUCCCUAGCUGGUUUGAGAGGAUGAUCAGCCACACUGGGACUGAGACACGGCCCAGACUCCUACGGGAGGCAGCAGUGGGGAAUAUUGCACAAUGGGCGCAAGCCUGAUGCAGCCAUGCCGCGUGUGUGAAGAAGGCCUUCGGGUUGUAAAGCACUUUCAGUCAGGAGGAAAGGUUAGCGGUUAAUACCCGUUAGCUGUGACGUUACUGACAGAAGAAGCACCGGCUAACUCCGUGCCAGCAGCCGCGGUAAUACGGAGGGUGCGAGCGUUAAUCGGAAUUACUGGGCGUAAAGCGUACGCAGGCGGUUUGUUAAGCGAGAUGUGAAAGCCCCGGGCUCAACCUGGGAACUGCAUUUCGAACUGGCAAACUAGAGUGUGAUAGAGGGUGGUAGAAUUUCAGGUGUAGCGGUGAAAUGCGUAGAGAUCUGAAGGAAUACCGAUGGCGAAGGCAGCCACCUGGGUCAACACUGACGCUCAUGUACGAAAGCGUGGGGAGCAAACGGGAUUAGAUACCCCGGUAGUCCACGCCGUAAACGAUGUCUACUAGAAGCUCGGAGCCUCGGUUCUGUUUUUCAAAGCUAACGCAUUAAGUAGACCGCCUGGGGAGUACGGCCGCAAGGUUAAAACUCAAAUGAAUUUGACGGGGGCCCGCACAAGCGGUGGAGCAUGUGUUUUAAUUCGAUGCAACGCGAA
RNAcentral lists this ribosomal RNA (912 nucleotides) under Pseudoalteromonas arctica. Its description in RNAcentral is "bacterial SSU rRNA". It matches the Rfam family "Bacterial small subunit ribosomal RNA", at positions 57 to 965 of the family's 1533-position model. Lineage: Bacteria; Pseudomonadati; Pseudomonadota; Gammaproteobacteria; Alteromonadales; Pseudoalteromonadaceae. The record is from RNAcentral.